RNAcentral lists this ribosomal RNA (497 nucleotides) under uncultured bacterium. Its description in RNAcentral is "partial 16S ribosomal RNA". It matches the Rfam family "Bacterial small subunit ribosomal RNA", at positions 28 to 507 of the family's 1533-position model. The record is from RNAcentral.
GAUGAACGCUGGCGGCGUGCCUAAUACAUGCAAGUCGAGCGAACAGACGAGGAGCUUACUCCUCUGACGUUAGCGGCGGACGGGUGAGUAACACGUGGAUAACCUACCUAUAAGACUGGGAUAACUUCGGGAAACCGGAGCUAAUACCGGAUAACAUGUAGAACCGCAUGGUUCAACAGUGAAAGACGGUCUUGCUGUCACUUAUAGAUGGAUCCGCGUCGCAUUAGCUAGUUGGUAAGGUAACGGCUUACCAAGGCAACGAUGCGUAGCCGACCUGAGAGGGUGAUCGGCCAAACUGGAACUGAGACACGGUCCAGACUCCUACGGGAGGCAGCGGUAGGGAAUCUUCCGCAAUGGGCGAAAGCCUGACGGAGCACCGCCGCGUGAGUGAAGAAGGUCUUCGGAUCGUAAAACUCUGUUAUUAGGGAAGAACAAAUGUGUAAGUUACUAUGCACGUCUUGACGGUACCUAAUCAGAAAGCCACGGCUAACUACGUG